CCUACGGGUGGCAGCAGUGAGGAAUAUUGGUCAAUGGCCGUAAGGCUGAACCAGCCAAGUAGCGUGAGGGAAGACUGCCCUAUGGGUUGUAAACCUCUUUUAUGCGGGGAUAAAUGUGUCCACGUGUGGAUUUUUGCAGGUACCGCAUGAAUAAGGACCGGCUAAUUCCGUGCCAGCAGCCGCGGUAAUACGGAAGGUCCGGGCGUUAUCCGGAUUUAUUGGGUUUAACGGGAGCGUAGGCCGGUCUUUAAGCGUGCCGUGAAAUUUUGUGGCUCAACCAUGGGAGUGCGGCGCGAACUGGAGACCUGGAGUGCGCGGAAGGUAGGUGGAAUUCGUGGUGUAGCGGUGAAAUGCUUAGAUAUCACGAAGAACCCUGAUUGCGAAGGCAGCCUGCCGCAGCGUGACUGACGCUGAAGCUCGAAAGCGCGGGGAGCGAACAGGAUUAGAUACCCCAGUAGUC
This 460-nucleotide ribosomal RNA is filed under the name uncultured bacterium. RNAcentral's name for it is "partial 16S ribosomal RNA". It matches the Rfam family "Bacterial small subunit ribosomal RNA", at positions 338 to 795 of the family's 1533-position model. The record is from RNAcentral.